Molecule: ribosomal RNA, 447 nt
Filed under: uncultured bacterium
Lineage: Bacteria
Description: bacterial SSU rRNA
Rfam family: Bacterial small subunit ribosomal RNA
Source: RNAcentral
UAUCCAGACUCCUACGGGAGGCAGCAGUGGGGGAUAUUGCACAAUGGGGGGAACCCUGAUGCAGCGACGCCGCGUGGGUGAAGAAGCGCCUCGGCGCGUAAAGCCCUGUCAGCAGGGAAGAAAAUGACGGUACCUGAAGAAGAAGCCCCGGCUAACUACGUGCCAGCAGCCGCGGUAAUACGUAGGGGGCAAGCGUUAUCCGGAUUCACUGGGUGUAAAGGGAGCGUAGACGGCGACGCAAGUCAGAUGUGAAAACCAUGGGCUCAACCUGUGGCCUGCAUUUGAAACUGUUUUUCUUGAGUACUGGAGAGGCAGACGGAAUUCCUAGUGUAGCGGUGAAAUGCGUAGAUAUUAGGAGGAACACCAGUGGCGAAGGCGGUCUGCUGGACAGCAACUGACGCUGAGGCGCGAAAGCGUGGGGAGCAAACAGGAUUAGAUACCCCAGUA